This 680-nucleotide long non-coding RNA is filed under the name Cyanistes caeruleus (blue tit). RNAcentral's name for it is "lncRNA (ENSCCEG00000003025.1)". Lineage: Eukaryota; Metazoa; Chordata; Aves; Passeriformes; Paridae. The record is from RNAcentral.
GCAUAAGUAUUCUGUUUAGCAUUCUGCAAUGCAAUAUCUGGAAUGAGAGAUGUACACCAUACUAAUACAAAGCUUCACUUAAAGAACUCAGCAGAUUUCAUGAACUAGAAGCCAGAAAGUUGAGUGUGUUCCUGAAGUGCUGUAGACCUCAGAGGCUGAAGUAUAGCUGUACAUCUCCUGGGAGUCUCUGUUGCUAUUUAUAAUAUAUAGAAAAUUCUUCUCCAGUUCUGUAAGUUUUUUCCAAAGGAUGUUUCUUGUACUGAUGGAGCAUCAAAAGAAGUAAAUGGAGAGAAAGGAGAGAUAGUUCCUAUCCCACAGGCCCUCAAGAAUGGCAGAAAUCAAUUCUAUUUGUAAUGUUUCAAUGUGAUUCUUAAUACUCAUAAAUGGAGUAAGGUAGGUCUGUGAGGGAAUAGCUUCCUCAGAAAAAUUCUACAGACAUCUAGAUUUUUGGAAUUUCAUUUAAAAGAACAUCCAAACAAUGAAAAUUUUUGGACUUCUUAUGAAAAUUGAAGGAAUCAUGGUUUUGUCUUUUCAUUUGUCUUUCUGUUAGUCUUUUUUUCUGCUACUAUUUUCUACAUACUAUCUUAAUUUCAUGACAGUGUUGUUGACUGUUUCUGAAGUUAAAUACUCUUAAUAUCAACAAAUUCUGUGAAAAGCAGCAGUGUUUCUUCCUCUAGAAA